Molecule: non-coding RNA, 333 nt
Organism: Camellia sinensis
Lineage: Eukaryota; Viridiplantae; Streptophyta; Magnoliopsida; Ericales; Theaceae
Source: RefSeq, a predicted model, not a curated record
CGAUGGAAGACAAGUGGAGCAGAGAUCUUCGGUAUCACAACAGUCCAAAGCAAGAGUUGAAGAUCAGGACAAAGCGACACUGAGCGCGGCGGAGAUCGGCAAAAUCAUGAUAGCCAACAAGAACUCAUCGAGUAGGGCGUUGAGGUCGGUGAUCGGAAUAGCAUAUUCACCUUUCUCUUUAAUCGAUGUUUCACAACCUUUGAUUUUGUAUUUGUUUUGUGUGAUUGGUUCUUUGAAAUCACUGUGUGUGUGGAAUUGAAAGGUCUGUAAUCAAGGAUUUACUUCAAUUUGUUGCAAUUACGAUAUGGAAAUUGAUUUGUGUUUUGUUUGAUA